CCAACGGCCCUCUUAAGGGCCACAAAUGUAUUAAAAUCCUUUUUC
Regulatory RNA element from Caenorhabditis elegans, 45 nucleotides. It matches the Rfam family "Histone 3' UTR stem-loop". Rfam says of the family: The mRNAs of metazoan histone genes lack a poly-A tail. 3' end processing occurs at a site between a highly conserved stem-loop (modelled by this family) and a purine rich region around 20 nts downstream (the histone downstream element, or HDE). The record is from Rfam. Lineage: Eukaryota; Metazoa; Nematoda; Chromadorea; Rhabditida; Rhabditidae.